RNAcentral lists this long non-coding RNA (2338 nucleotides) under Homo sapiens (human). RNAcentral's name for it is "HSALNT0299775". The record is from RNAcentral. Lineage: Eukaryota; Metazoa; Chordata; Mammalia; Primates; Hominidae.
CUUGGCCACAGGCCGGGUGCUCUGUGGGGCCUACCCUACGCCUCUCCGCCGUCCUCCCCCGAACUGGUGGUUACGCGGGCCGCGAGUUACCGUGAGCACGGCUGGGAUGCUGACGGGGAAAGAGCUGACAGAGAAGGCGGACGGCAUGGUGUUGGGAAGCCCGCUCUCACAGCAACCGCCGAACCCGGCCUGGCCAGAAUCCACAGAGGAGGGCGCCAAAUCCUCUCUCGUGAGAUCUGCCCUUCUCACGAAACUUGCGCUUGCUUCCUCUCGCGGUAAUUUCAUGGCAUUGCUAGGUCCAGAUAUCGCGAUAUUUCCUGGUGGUCGCUGUAAUACGGAAAACUUACUACGCUGCUGUGGGACUUGUGCUCGCUCCGCCAGGAGGCCGAGGGCGUCUUUAGUUCGUUAACAGAGGAGCAGGCGGAGGCGGGUGGAAUUUAGGAGGUUUGUUUCAAAGGCUCAGGGCGCUGUACCGCCACGCCAGCCCUGUCCCACCUGGGACUCCCUAGAAGGGUCAGAGCAUCAAUGAGGACGGUGUCCGCCCCGAGACCCUGCAGGAGCCGGGGACAUUGCCCACUCCUCGGACCCUGCAGGACUUGGGAAGGUGUCUGCUCUCGCGACCCUAAGGGCAGUGCACUCUUAGUCUGGGUCAGCUUAGGGUUAUCUGUCUUCACUUUGGAGAUUUACCAGAUGUUCUUACGCUUCACUUCGUUGUUCAACGACAGAUACAAAAAUAUAAAGUUAAUUUUCUUCCAGCGAAUUUUUUCCCUUUAUUUUAACAUCUAUACCCCAACUUUGACAUUUUCAAAUUAAACAUUCUGUUAUUUUAACAUCAUGAAUUAUUAAGUGUAUAUACUUUAAUUGCAUAUGUUAGCUCUUGAACUAGUUUAAUGUUUCUAAAAAUAGUUCUAGUGGUGGACUUUUUUUUUUUUUUAAUAGCUUUAACCCCUCCCAGAUCUUUCUUAAAAUCUUUCCACAGUGUGGUCAUUUCUGCUUAUGCUACUUAACAUGCAUUCUCUCAUUUCAGUGUAGAAGGUCAUGGUUUCUUCUUAUGGGAAAACAUUUCUUUCAUUGAUAUUUUUCUCUAUUCUUCCUGUAUUCAACUCCAGGAACAUCCCGUUAGGUAGAUAGUGCAUCUUCCUCUCUUUUGUGUUUCUCAACCUUCCUCUCAAAACAUCACGACUGUUGUUGCUGAGUUUGGGAAAUCUCGGGCUUGGCUUUCCUGGUUUUUUUUUUUUUUUUUUAAGACGAUGUCUCGCUCUGUCGCCCAGGCUGGAGCACAAUGGUGGGACCUCGGCUCACUGCAACCUCCGCCUCCUGGGUUCAAGCUAUUCUCCUGCCUCAGCCUCCCGAGUAGCUGGGAUUACAGGUGUUCGCCACCUCACCUGGCUAAUUUUUUUUGUAUUUUUAGUAGAGACGGGGUUUCACCAUGUUGGCCAGGCUAGUUUUGAACUCCUGACCUCAAGUGAUUUACCCGCCUGGGCCUCCCAAAGUGCUGGGAUUACAGGCAUGAGCCACCGCACCCAGCUGGUGUGAUGGUUUUCAUCUGUGUCCAUUCUCACUCCCCUGUGUUUGUUCAGCUAUUUUCAACAGGACCUUUCAGUUACAGGGAAUAGAUCUGUCCUCUUCAGUUCAGCCUGUUACUGUGUAUCUCCCUGAUGAUAUUUCGUUACUAUGUGAAACAUCACUCUUAUUAAUUUCCAUGGGUUAGUUUCAUCGUCAGUCCUGUCUGGUGCCUGCCUUUCUUUUGUGGUGUCUGUUUUCUUGUAACUUCUGUAAUUUGGGGUCAAACUCUUUUUGCUAUUAAUAUUAACCACAGCCUAUCUACGGUCACUGGGAUUUUUUCUCUUCAUCUUCCCCUCAGCCGCCCUCCCAGAUCUUUCAUAUAUUGUGCGCCCUGGCACCCAAGUUUCCAAAAUUGUUAAAACUCUGGCCCUCAGCAGCUUCACUUUCAGUCCCAGGACAUUCAUCUUCCACAUUCCUCCCGCCCUGCCGUUCUGAACAACGCUAGGCUGCCGGACAUUUAGACGUGAAGCUUGUGCAAUGUCGCCAGUCUGAGAUGUGCUUUAAUUUCAAACAUACACCAUCUUUCAAAGACUUUGUACCAAAAUGUAAAAUACAUUAUCAACAAUUGUAUUAUUUUGCUUACAUGUUGAAAUUAUAUUUUGGACAUACUGGACCAAAUAAAAUAUAUCAAUAAAAUUAAUCUCUUUCUCUUUGCUAUUUUAAUGUGGCCAGUAGAACAUGGCCUGCUCUCUCUGUUGGUAUGUGAAUGCUGACAUGGACUCUAUUCCAUUUACCUGGAAUUUUGUGCUUCCAGAAAAGACUGGAUGAAGCC